Molecule: ribosomal RNA, 465 nt
Filed under: uncultured bacterium
Lineage: Bacteria
Description: partial 16S ribosomal RNA
Rfam family: Bacterial small subunit ribosomal RNA
Source: RNAcentral
GACGAACGCUGGCGGCGUGCUUAACACAUGCAAGUCGAACGGUAAGGCCCCUUCGGGGGUACACGAGUGGCGAACGGGUGAGUAACACGUGAGCAACCUGCCCUUGACUCUGGAAUAACAGUUGGAAACAGCUGCUAAUACUGGAUAUUCAUCGUCUCCUUCCUGGGGGGUGGUGGAAGGCUCCGGCGGUCAGGGAUGGGCUCGCGGCCUAUCAGCUUGUUGGUGAGGUAAUGGCUCACCAAGGCUUCGACGGGUAGCCGGCCUGAGAGGGCGACCGGCCACACUGGGACUGAGAUACGGCCCAGACUCCUACGGGAGGCAGCAGUGGGGAAUAUUGCACAAUGGGCGCAAGCCUGAUGCAGCAACGCCGCGUGCGGGAUGACGGCCUUCGGGUUGUAAACCGCUUUCAGUAGGGACGAAGGGUGACUGACGGUACCUACAGAAGAAGGACCGGCUAACUACGUG